GAAGCUGGUGCAGGGUGACGGUGCGUCUGGGUAAGGCAAAUGAGAGGCAGUGAGGUGAUCUCAGAAUGGCGUUGAGGCGGUCAGAUUAGGCCGGGCUGGCUCACACGAGGGUCCCGGGCUUGGCUUUUCCCUGCCCGUACCACUGGACAUCAGCUAGUUCUGGAUAGAGGGAGGAAUCCAGGAAACAGCUAUCAUUGUAGCUCCUGUGGGAGGCCCAAGAAAGAUGAGAGAGUUAGUGGAGGAGGAUGGGCUCAGCCAGGCCUGCACUGAGAAGGAUGUGUUCACCUUGACAGGGCCCUGUGCUAAUCACGAGUCUUUCCUGUUCAGAGCAGUGAGGCCUGAGACCCUCAACGGUGCUGUGUGUACAGAAGGCCCCCAGAAUCCACAGAAAGGGCCCGCCUGAAACCUAGAGCAUUUGUGAAGGAGGAGAAUGGAAGGAACAACUGGAUGUUGUAAAUGUUUCUCAUCUGGCCUUAAAAUCCAUGAAAGCUGGAAAAUGCCAAGGCAUCUGUGCACAUACUGGUGGAUUUUAAUGAGAGUCCUGUGUUUGGAGCACCAGAAAUAAACCAGCUUCAGAAGCAAAGUGAGCCCGAGAAUUUGCAUUUCUGACAAGAUCCCAGGAUUUGAACGUCUAUGACACUCUUCCGAGCUGACACAGUGAAGAACAUGGAAGGAGAACUCACCCAGUCUGCCAGGGUCACAGAUGAUCAUACUCAAGAUCUUCCUGGGGAGUCAACGGCAAAUUUCACUGGGCUACUUUACAGAUGAAGAAGGAAUAUAAAGAAGGUUCUGGGACCCUGAAGUCCACGGAACACCCACCAUUACCUGAUCUUUGGAGCUUGUCAUUUGGCCAGUGGACCCUAAUAAACAUGUCCACGGGGAUGUGGGGAUGGAAUGCCGGAGCCUGGCUCGCUAGGGCAUCCAGGUUCUUCCUCUUUGCCCUGCUGUCUCCAGGCACCAAGAAUCUCCUGCAGUUCCCCAAAGAUGAACCCCCCAGUAUCUCAGGUCACUCUGUUUCCCUUGAUCUUUACCAAAUUCCUGACUCAGAGUUCCUCCCAUUUGCUUCUGACUCUCAUUUUAUUCUUAUGAUGUUUACCAUUUCUGUUCUCCUCAGUGUCCCUCUCUGAGUGCUAAGAGUAUGUUAAUAAGCCAGUGCUCAGACCACAGCACAAGGCAACUGCUCAGUGUCGGUCAUUAUCACUGUUAUUAAAUG
RNAcentral lists this small RNA (1213 nucleotides) under Pongo abelii (Sumatran orangutan). RNAcentral's name for it is "processed transcript". The record is from RNAcentral. Lineage: Eukaryota; Metazoa; Chordata; Mammalia; Primates; Hominidae.